GACGAACGCUGGCGGCGUGCUUAACACAUGCAAGUCGAACGAAGUGGCGAACGGGUGAGUAACGCGUAAUCAACCUGCCCUUCAGAGGGGGACAACAGUUGGAAACGAAUGCUAAUACCGCAUACUGAAGGAGGGGCUUGCGUCUGAUUGGCUAGUUGGAGGGGUAACGGCCCACCAAGGCGAUGAUCAGUAGCCGGUCCGAUAGGUUGGACCGCCACCUCGGGGCUGGAGCACGGCCCAGACUCCUACGGGAGGCAGCAGUGGGGAAUCUUCCGCAAUGGGGGGAAGUCUGACGGGGCAACGCCGCGUUAGUUAUGACGGCCUUCGGGUUGUAAAGCUCUGUUAAUCGGGACGCGGUACCGGAAUAGAAAGCCACGGCUAACUACGUGCCAACAGCCGCGGUAAUAC
Molecule: ribosomal RNA, 408 nt
Filed under: uncultured bacterium
Lineage: Bacteria
Description: partial 16S ribosomal RNA
Rfam family: Bacterial small subunit ribosomal RNA
Source: RNAcentral